Long non-coding RNA from Papaver somniferum (opium poppy), 555 nucleotides. RefSeq lists it as uncharacterized. The record is from RefSeq and is a predicted model, not a curated record. Lineage: Eukaryota; Viridiplantae; Streptophyta; Magnoliopsida; Ranunculales; Papaveraceae. The transcript has 3 exons.
UCAAUUUCACUCGAAAACUCACUAUGUCUCUCUCCCUUCAUCUCUCCAGUUUUCUUCGAUCAAUUCAUUGAGAAAUUCAAGUGACGAUCUCGAGUUUUCGUCGAAAUCGUUGCUUUCAUUUUGAUUCAGGUAGGAUUCAACUGGUUUCCUCUCUAGUAUCUUUGGUGAAAUCACAAUUUCAGUAUAUCUUCUUCCUUCACGCCACAUUAAAAGAACACGAACCCUAAAUUUCUUUCGUAAACAGAAUCAGAAGUAGUUUCAGAAGAGGAUUACCAUUCCAAUCAGAAGAAGGUUGCAGUAGUUAAGGUGGACUGAUGCUGGAUGGCUACAUUUGAGGGGAAGAAGGUUGUUUCAUAUUCUUCAUGAGAUAUGGCAGUUGUAGCAAGGGAGUAUUCUAGACGACUUCAGGCCCUUCCAUCAGAAGACCGAAAGAAAAUUCUGUUGCAAGUAGCGGAUGCCUUAGAAGCAAAUGAAAGCUUCCAAGAAUAAGAUGAUGCUGCUGCAAAGAAGGCUGGGGGUGACAAGGCACUGAUAUCUCGCUUGGCUGUAAAGCCC